GUGAUAACAGACUUUUUACAACAGACGAUACUGGAACUUCAGCUCGUGGGAAGCACAAAUUGGAUAGAACUCCAAAUAGUAAGCGGAGAAGAAAGAGUAACCAAUCCAGUUUUGCUGAAACUUGUAGAGCCAUACAAUAUUUUCUAAAAGUUAAGUCAUCAAGUCCAUCUGGUGAUGGCUCUGCGAGCUCAGCGACUUCACAACCACCUGUAGACCCUUUCUCCGUAUCUACUAUGGUCCAGAUUCUAAACAAUAUGCCCGAGAUAGAGC
This 270-nucleotide long non-coding RNA is filed under the name Eucalyptus grandis. Its description in RNAcentral is "long non-coding RNA (EGRA_LNC006452)". Lineage: Eukaryota; Viridiplantae; Streptophyta; Magnoliopsida; Myrtales; Myrtaceae. The record is from RNAcentral.